Molecule: ribosomal RNA, 1737 nt
Filed under: Hanseniaspora valbyensis
Lineage: Eukaryota; Fungi; Ascomycota; Saccharomycetes; Saccharomycodales; Saccharomycodaceae
Description: SSU rRNA
Rfam family: Eukaryotic small subunit ribosomal RNA
Source: RNAcentral
AGUCAUAUGCUUGUCUCAAAGAUUAAGCCAUGCAUGUCUAAGUAUAAGCAAUUUAUACAGUGAAACUGCGAAUGGCUCAUUAAAUCAGUUAUCGUUUAUUUGAUAGUUUCUUUACUACAUGGAAUACCUGUGGUAAUUCUAGAGCUAAUACAUGCUUAAAAUCCCGACUCACGAAGGGAUGUAUUUAUUAGAUAAAAAAUCAAUGUCUUCGGACUUCUGAUGAUUCAUAAUAACUUUUCGAAUCGCAUGGCCUUGUGCUGGCGAUGGUUCAUUCAAAUUUCUGCCCUAUCAACUUUUGAUGGUAGGAUAGUGGCCUACCAUGGUUUCAACGGGUAACGGGGAAUAAGGGUUCGAUUCCGGAGAGGGAGCCUGAGAAACGGCUACCACAUCCAAGGAAGGCAGCAGGCGCGCAAAUUACCCAAUCCUAAUUCAGGGAGGUAGUGACAAUAAAUAACGAUACAGGGCUUUAUGUCUUGUAAUUGGAAUGAGUACAAUGUAAAUACCUUAACGAGGAACAAUUGGAGGGCAAGUCUGGUGCCAGCAGCCGCGGUAAUUCCAGCUCCAAUAGCGUAUAUUAAAGUUGUUGCAGUUAAAAAGCUCGUAGUUGAACUUUGGGCUUGGAGAAUCGGUCCGACUAUGUCGUGUACUGUCUUCUCCAGGUCUUUCCUUCUGGUUCUCAAUUGGGGCUUGCUCCUUUUGGUGAUCCAGGAUUUUUACUUUGAAAAAAUUAGAGUGUUCAAAGCAGGCGUUUUGCUCGAAUAUAUUAGCAUGGAAUAAUAGAAUAGGACGAAUGGUUCUAUUUUGUUGGUUUCUAGGACCAUCGUAAUGAUUAAUAGGGACGGUCGGGGGCAUCAGUAUUCAGUUGUCAGAGGUGAAAUUCUUGGAUUUACUGAAGACUAACUACUGCGAAAGCAUUUGCCAAGGACGUUUUCAUUAAUCAAGAACGAAAGUUAGGGGAUCGAAGAUGAUCAGAUACCGUCGUAGUCUUAACCAUAAACUAUGCCGACUAGGGAUCGGGCGGUGCCUUUUAUUGGCCCACUCGGCACCUUACGAGAAAUCAAAGUUUUUGGGUUCUGGGGGGAGUAUGGUCGCAAGGCUGAAANUUAAAGGAAUUGACGGAAGGGCACCACCAGGAGUGGAGCCUGCGGCUUAAUUUGACUCAACACGGGGAAACUCACCAGGUCCAGACACAAUAAGGAUUGACAGAUUGAGAGCUCUUUCUUGAUUUUGUGGGUGGUGGUGCAUGGCCGUUCUUAGUUGGUGGAGUGAUUUGUCUGCUUAAUUGCGAUAACGAACGAGACCUUAACCCUUAAAUAGGUUGGCUGGCUUUCGCUGGUUAACCUUCUUAUGGGGACUAUCGAUUUCAAGUCGAUGGAAGUUUGAGGCAAUAACAGGUCUGUGAUGCCCUUAGACGUUCUGGGCCGCACGCGCGCUACACUGACGGAGCCAGCGAGCAUAUCCUUGACCGAGAGGUUUGGGUAAUCUUGUGAAACUCCGUCGUGCUGGGGAUAGAGCAUUGUAAUUAUUGCUCUUCAACGAGGAAUUCCUAGUAAGCGCAAGUCAUCAGCUUGCGUUGAUUACGUCCCUGCCCUUUGUACACACCGCCCGUCGCUAGUACCGAUUGAAUGGCUUAGUGAGGCUUCAGGAUUUGCUUAGAUCGAGGGGCAACUCUCUUUCAGAGCGGAGAAUCUAGUCAAACUUGGUCAUUUAGAGGAACUAAAAGUCGUAACAAGGUUU